CUGGGGUCAAGUCUGCGGGACUUCAGCAAGUGUGGGAUUGUGUCUUCGGGACUUCAGCAGUGUGAGGUACUUCGUGUUUAAAGGAAAGGAGUCGGCUUGAUCGCAGCGCAUCACACUAUGGUUUUCCGCACAUGAGAUCUUUGGGAUUACACUCUGAUAUUGUUUUAUGAUAACAUGUUUGAUUAUUUCUACUUUGGUUUUGAUAUGACAUGAUAUUACAAAUGUUUUAUUACACUGUUGGUUUUAUAAUGACGUAUUUAAAAAUGAAAA
Molecule: non-coding RNA, 270 nt
Organism: Lactuca sativa (garden lettuce)
Lineage: Eukaryota; Viridiplantae; Streptophyta; Magnoliopsida; Asterales; Asteraceae
Source: RefSeq, a predicted model, not a curated record